Molecule: ribosomal RNA, 406 nt
Filed under: uncultured bacterium
Lineage: Bacteria
Description: partial 16S ribosomal RNA
Rfam family: Bacterial small subunit ribosomal RNA
Source: RNAcentral
AUUGAACGCUGGCGGCAGGCCUAACACAUGCAAGUCGAGCGAGCGGCGGACGGGUGAGUAAUGUCUGGGAAACUGCCUGAUGGAGGGGGAUAACUACUGGAAACGGUAGCUAAUACCGCAUACCAUCAGAUGUGCCCAGAGGGGAUAAGCUAGUAGGUGGGGUAAUGGCUCACCUAGGCGACGAUCCCUAGCGGGUCUGGGAGUAUGACCAGCCAGACUGGAACUGAGACACGGUCCAGACUCCUACGGGAGGCAGCAGGGGGUAAUAUUGCACAAUGGGCGCAAGCCUGAUGCAGCCAUGCCGCGUGUGUGAAGAAGGCCUUCGGGUUGUAAAGCACUUUCAGCGGGGAGGCGUUACCCGCAGAAGAAGCACCGGCUAACUCCGUGCCAGCAGCCGCGGUAAUAC